CCUACGGGAGGCAGCAGUGGGGGAUAUUGCACAAUGGAGGAAACCCUGAUGCAGCGACGCCGCGUGUAGGAAGACGGUCCUCUGGAUUGUAAACUACUGUCCCCAGGGACGAAGAUGACGGUACCUGGGGAGGCAGCUCCGACUAACUACGUGCCAGCAGCCGCGGUCAUACGUAGGGAGCGAGCGUUGUCCGGAAUUACUGGGUGUAAAGGGAGCGUAGGCGGGGAUGCAAGUUGGGUGGAAACUCUACGGGCUCAACUGGUAGUCGCACUCAAAACUGCAGCUCUGGAGUGAAGUAGCGGCAGGCGGAAUUCCUAGUGUAGCGGUGAAAUGCGUAGAUAUUAGAAGGAACACCAAUAGCGUAGGCAGGUUGCUGGGACGGUUCUGACACUAAGGCACGAAAGCGUAGGGAGCAAACGGGAUUAGAUACCCGGGUAGUC
Molecule: ribosomal RNA, 440 nt
Filed under: uncultured bacterium
Lineage: Bacteria
Description: partial 16S ribosomal RNA
Rfam family: Bacterial small subunit ribosomal RNA
Source: RNAcentral